GACGAACGCUGGCGGCGUGCUUAACACAUGCAAGUCGAACGGAAAGGCCCUGCUUUUGUGGGGUGCUCGAGUGGCGAACGGGUGAGUAACACGUGAGUAACCUGCCCUUGACUUUGGGAUAACUUCAGGAAACUGGGGCUAAUACCGGAUAGGAGCUCCUGCUGCAUGGUGUGGGUUGGAAAGUUUCGGCGGUUGGGGAUGGGCUCGCGGCUUAUCAGCUGGUUGGUGGGGUAGUGGCUUACCAAGGCUUUGACGGGUAGCCGGCCUGAGCGGGUGACCGGCCACAUUGGGACUGAGAUACGGACCAGACUCCUACGGGAGGCAGCAGGGGGGAAUAUUGCACAAUGGGCGGAAGCCUGAUGCAGCAACGCCGCGUGCGGGAUGACGGCCUUCGGGUUGUAGACCGCUUUCGCCUGUGACGAAGCGUGAGUGACGGUAAUGGGUAAAGAAGCACCGGCUAACUACGUG
Molecule: ribosomal RNA, 468 nt
Filed under: uncultured bacterium
Lineage: Bacteria
Description: partial 16S ribosomal RNA
Rfam family: Bacterial small subunit ribosomal RNA
Source: RNAcentral